RNAcentral lists this ribosomal RNA (253 nucleotides) under uncultured bacterium. RNAcentral's name for it is "partial 16S ribosomal RNA". It matches the Rfam family "Bacterial small subunit ribosomal RNA", at positions 524 to 776 of the family's 1533-position model. The record is from RNAcentral.
AACGUAGGAGACAAACGUUAUCCGGAUUUACUGGGCGUAAAGGGCGUGUAGGUGGUUUUGUAAGUCUGGCGUGAAAUUUUUCGGCUUAACCGGGAAAGGUCGUCGGAUACUGCAGAACUAGAGGACGGUAGAGGCGUGUGGAAUUCCGGGUGUAGUGGUGAAAUGCGUAGAGAUCCGGAGGAACACCAGUGGCGAAGGCGACACGCUGGGCCGUACCUGACACUGAUGCGCGACAGCAUGGGGAGCAAACAGG